UUGGAGGGCAAGUCUGGUGCCAGCAGCCGCGGUAAUUCCAGCUCCAAUAGCGUAUAUUAAAGUUGUUGCAGUUAAAAAGCUCGUAGUUGAAUUUCGGGGUUCAUCCGUUGGUCGGGCUUUUUUGGUCUGUACUGGCGUGAUGGAUUCCUACCUUCUGAAUAACCAGCAUGUCAUUAAUUUGGUGCGCUGGGGAAGCAGGACUGUUACCUUGAAAAAAUUAGAGUGCUUAAAGCAGGCUAUCGCCUGAAUACAUUAGCAUGGAAUAAUGAAAUAGGACGGCAUGGUUCUAUUUUGUUGGUUUCUAGGAUCACCAUAAUGAUUAAUAGGGAUAGUUGGGGGCAUUAGUAUUCAAUUGUCAGAGGUGAAAUUCUUGGAUUUAUUGAAGACUAACUUCUGCGAAAGCAUUUGCCAAGGAUGUUUUCAUUAAUCAAGAACGAAAGUUAGGGGAUCGAAGACGAUCAGAUACCGUCGUAGUCUUAACCAUAAACUAUGCCGACUAGGGAUCGGACGAUGUUAAUUUUUUAAUGACUCGUUCGGCGCCUUACGGGAAAC
This 552-nucleotide ribosomal RNA is filed under the name uncultured Glomeromycotina. RNAcentral describes it as "SSU rRNA". It matches the Rfam family "Eukaryotic small subunit ribosomal RNA", at positions 548 to 1098 of the family's 1831-position model. The record is from RNAcentral. Lineage: Eukaryota; Fungi; Glomeromycota.